Molecule: ribosomal RNA, 200 nt
Filed under: uncultured bacterium
Lineage: Bacteria
Description: partial 16S ribosomal RNA
Rfam family: Bacterial small subunit ribosomal RNA
Source: RNAcentral
GAUGAACGCUAGCGGCAGGCCUAAUACAUGCAAGUCGAACGCGAUCCAGGAGCUUGCUCCUGGUGAAAGUGGCGCACGGGUGCGUAACGCGUAUGCAACCUACCUUAAUCAGGGGGAUAGCCCGGAGAAAUCCGGAUUAACACCGUAUAAAAUCACAAUCUGGCAUCAGAAAAUGAUCAAAUAUUUAUAGGAUUAAGAUG